GGAACGUUACCUUUAGUCGGGUAGGGGGAAUAACGCAGACGAAAGCUGCGCUAAUACCGCAUACGAUCUACGGAUAGAAAGGCGGGGGAUCGCAAGACCUCGCGCGAUUUGGAGCGGCCGAUAUCAGAUUAGGUAGUUGGUGGGGUAAAAGGCUCACCAAGCCAACGAUCUGUAGCUGGUCUGAGAGGACGACCAGCCACACUGGAACUGAGACACGGUCCAGACUCCUACGGGAGGCAGCAGUGGGGAAUUUUUGGACAAUGGACGCAAGUCUGAUCCAGCCAUUCCGCGUGCAGGAUGAAGGCCCUCGGGUUGUAAACUGCUUUUGUACGGAACGAAAAGGUUUCUAUUAAUACUAGGAGCUCAUGACGGUACCGUAAGAAUAAGCACCGGCUAACUACGUG
RNAcentral lists this ribosomal RNA (404 nucleotides) under uncultured bacterium. Its description in RNAcentral is "bacterial SSU rRNA". It matches the Rfam family "Bacterial small subunit ribosomal RNA", at positions 121 to 507 of the family's 1533-position model. The record is from RNAcentral.